Ruditapes philippinarum (Manila clam) is the source of this 1031-nucleotide long non-coding RNA. RefSeq lists it as uncharacterized. NCBI's taxonomy places the organism in Eukaryota, Metazoa, Mollusca, Bivalvia, Venerida, Veneridae. The transcript has 2 exons. The record is from RefSeq and is a predicted model, not a curated record.
UUGAAAAAUUUGUAUUAUAACACGUGGUGAAUCAUUAUUUAACUGUAGUGAAUCGUUAUUACUCUGUGGUGAAUUGUAAUAUGACUCGUUGGUGAAAUGUUACAUUACUGUUUAUAGACAUGGUACAUGUAGUUAGGCAAUGGUAGACUAUACGUUAUUUAUAUUUUGUUCAAAAUUGAUUAAUAUACAGUUUAAGAUAUUUUUAAGAUUUUUUUUUUAAACAUGCAGUUGAAUAAUUUAAUGUAUGAUAAACCACAGAUUUAAGGCUAUACACAUUAGACAUUCUUCUUUUUUUAUAUUGCUAUAUGUAUAAUGUAUAAUUGGUUUAUAGAUAAUUAACAUGUUAAGGCUUGCCCAAAGUACAUAUGUAAAAUAUACGAAGCUCAUACUUUUAAUACUCUGACCUACCCAAACUUUGGUAAGGUUUUGGAAAAGCGGAGAAAAUUACCAAGGGUUUGUUUACCUUGUGGAUACCUGCCAUGUCAAUGCAGUGUUUUUUUACCCUGAAUAGUUCAAAUAAGUUCUGAUCGAGUUUUCUUCACAAGUUUAAUAUAUGAUAGAUAUUUUUAAAACUAAAAAGGAAAGAAAAUAAGAAUCCAAAAGUCUAAAUGUAAAAAGAAUCAAGUUAAAACCAGAAAAACUAAGUUGCUUUAAUGAUUAGCCUGCUGGAGCUAACUGAUUCCACACAUGUAAAUUUCAGUCAGUGCAGACCAAGAUUAGUCAACACAUUGGUGCCAACUGUGCAUGGUCUGCACUGUUUGCUAUUUAGUCAGUAUAUAUUUUCCCCAAAGAUAAUGAAUGAUUGUGUCCAGAUUGAAACGUAGAGGAGUCCAUUGAAUUAAGAUAUAUCUUGGUAAACAGUUAACACUUCUAUUUCUUUUUAUGAUUACAGGAUUCAAGAAAGGUGCUGAUGAAGGGAUGCCAGAGUUGUCUUUGUUAAGUUUAUUAUGGCAAUAGAGUAUUUAAACUGUGAACAGAAGUGAUCCAGAGUAAAUGCCUUUAGAAGAGGAUGACAACAACAAAAAAAUUAA